CGGGACGUAGCGCAGUUUGGUAGCGCGCAGCGUUCGGGACGCUGAGGUCGCGGGUUCAAAUCCCGCCGUCCCGA
Molecule: transfer RNA, 74 nt
Filed under: Actinomycetota bacterium
Lineage: Bacteria; Bacillati; Actinomycetota
Also listed under: 1 other name
Description: tRNA-Pro
Rfam family: tRNA
About the family: Transfer RNA (tRNA) molecules are approximately 80 nucleotides in length. Their secondary structure includes four short double-helical elements and three loops (D, anti-codon, and T loops).
Source: RNAcentral